Molecule: ribosomal RNA, 313 nt
Filed under: uncultured Chytridiaceae
Lineage: Eukaryota; Fungi; Chytridiomycota; Chytridiomycetes; Chytridiales; Chytridiaceae
Description: partial large subunit ribosomal RNA
Rfam family: Eukaryotic large subunit ribosomal RNA
Source: RNAcentral
AUAUCAAUAAGCGGAGGAAAAGAAACCAACAGGGAUUCCCCUAGUAACGGCGAGUGAAGAGGGAACAGCUCAAUUUUGAAAUCUCGCGGGUCACCCGUGCGAAUUGUAGUUUCGAGAAGCGUUUUCGGGGGCGGGCUGGGUAAAGUCCGUUGGAACGCGGCAUCAUAGAGGGUGAGAAUCCCGUCUUUGAUCCGGACUCCGCUCCUAUGUGAUACGUUUUCAAAGAGUCGGAUAGUUUGGGAAUGCUGUCCAAAAUGGGUGGUAAAUACCAUCUAAAGCUAAAUAUUGGCGAGAGACCGAUAGCGCACAAGUA